GCAGGCUCACAUAGCCGUUGAUAUGUUUAUCGUGUUCUGCGCAUUGAUAACCAAAUAUCACGUACCCGGGGUGGCGACACGUAACACGUCUCCUGCCACUCAGUCAACAUGGCAUGAUGUCACUGUUAUCAACACUGCCGUCUAGUCACACAUCAAAGGCUUUUUCUCAGAAAUGACUUCCUUGGGACCUCCGGGUACAUACCUAGGUAAGUCUUUCUCCUACCCGCGCCUCAAACGCUUCAAUGAACUCUUCUGCAUUUUAUUGACUGUGGGAGGGGGCGUGUUUCAUUUUUUUUUACAAUUUUCUGAAACACAUUAGCUAAACUUUCUGCAGUGGUGUCAUGGAGUUUAGUUGAACGAAGUUCAGAUGUGCCACUGAACAUUAGAAGAAACAAUGGGAAAAGAAAAUGCGGGUGGAGACAUCUAAAGGUGUGGUCAAGCAGACACACAGACCGCAUCCAUGCAGACUGCACUGGGUCCUCCUCCUGGUCACUAGCUUGACCUUCUGUACCCUGUAUUUCAGCAAACGUGUGUCCAAGUUCAUCUUGCAGUCGGCUGGCUUCACUCACUUGCACGUUUAGUGAGGAUGUUCGCGAGAAUCGACGAGAUUUCAAGAUCGUCGAUAAACAUUCAGUGACUGCACUUAAAUGCAUGUGGAGAAACGAUGAGUCGUACUGUCAUGUGGAGCAGGCUACCGUUACAACUGGACUGUGACAGACAGUGUCACCAUCCAGAAGCCUUAUGACACACAACUGCCAACAUGUUCGUGCUACAUUGUCAGUGCAGACAAAAGUGAUCAUGAACGACCGUGCAGUGUUGAAGACAUGACCGUGGAGCAAGCGGCCCAAAACAACCAAACAGCAGGAGACAGACAGUUGCUGGCGUACGGCGCAAAAGACCGGGCAGUGUGUGACAUCCCACCUACAGAUGUAAACAGCACCGUGACACUAACAUGUUAUUUCCCUGCUGAUGUCAGUGUAAACAAGAAGAAUUUCAUUGUGUAUCACUCAGUCACUACUCAAGCCCCAGUUGCUGUUAUAAAUGCAACAUGGUAUGAAGGCCAGUACCUGUUUUCUCUCGCCCCCGGCUUUGGUCUGGAGGGCUCUCAGUCGGAUGGUCGUGCCUUCACCUUUUACAUACUGCAGGUCAGCAAGGGUCACAAUGGAAUGUACUCCUGCAAUCCUGAUGGGUAUCACGACGGUGACAUCAAGGGAUGUGAACUGGUCCUAAACAAGAGUCUGUUUCAGGUGGAAGUGAAUCAGUAGACAGCCAUGAACAGAAAGGAAACAGCACAGACUGCUCUAAUCAUUCUAAGACGACAGACAUUUAUUUCAUUUUAUUUAUCAUCGCCACCGUCUUAUCCGUCUGCAUUCCUCUCGUUUGUCUGAUCUUCGUAUUGCGCAG
RNAcentral lists this unclassified non-coding RNA (1404 nucleotides) under Pomacea canaliculata. Its description in RNAcentral is "uncharacterized LOC112569551, transcript variant X1". The record is from RNAcentral. Lineage: Eukaryota; Metazoa; Mollusca; Gastropoda; Architaenioglossa; Ampullariidae.